Molecule: long non-coding RNA, 398 nt
Filed under: Ananas comosus (pineapple)
Lineage: Eukaryota; Viridiplantae; Streptophyta; Magnoliopsida; Poales; Bromeliaceae
Description: long non-coding RNA (ACOM_LNC028567)
Source: RNAcentral
UUACGUCAAUAUUUUUAAGUUGAAUAUGAUAAUUGAGUCACCGUAUCUCAGCAUUUUUAAGUUAAACACAGUGAUUAAGCCACUGUGUUCAUAUUUAUAUUUUAAUCCCUUUUUUUUAACAUAGGGAUGAUAAGAAAUACAGAAAAAAAAUACGGUGAUUCAAUUACCGUGUUCAACUUUAAAAACGUUACUUAUGCACUCGCGUAGUAAAGAGAAGCUAUUUAUGCAAAUAUAAAUUUAUUAUGACCAUUUGUAGAAAAAGGUUUUGAGGGAGCUAACGCUAGAAAGGCCCAAAUAUAUUUAUUUAUAUUUUAAAAAAUAUAUAAUUUAAUAUUAUUUUUAUUUUUUUAUAAAUUAUAUAAUUACAGUGACAAUUUAUGCUGGAAAAUGAUGUAAAU